AUACCAAUCUGCCCGUUACUCGGGGAUAGCCUUCUGAAAGGAAGAUUAAUACCCGGAUGGCAUGUAUUUCCGGCAUCGGAGAUACNUUAAAAGAUUUAUCGGUAACGGAUGAGGAUGCGUACGAUUAGCUGGUUGCGGGGUAACGGCCCACCAAGGCGACGAUCGUUAGGGGUUCUGAGAGGAAGGUCCCCCCACACUGGAACUGAGACACGGUCCAGACUCCUACGGGAGGCAGCAGUGAGGAAUAUUGGUCAAUGGGCGCGAGCCUGAACCAGCCAAGUAGCGUGAAGGAUGACUGCCCUACGGGUUGUAAACUUCUUUUGUUUGGGAAUAAAUGAUACUACGUGUAGUAUUUUGCAUGUACCUUACGAAUAAGCAUCGGCUAAUUCCGUG
This 393-nucleotide ribosomal RNA is filed under the name uncultured bacterium. Its description in RNAcentral is "bacterial SSU rRNA". It matches the Rfam family "Bacterial small subunit ribosomal RNA", at positions 119 to 507 of the family's 1533-position model. The record is from RNAcentral.